AACCUUGCGCAGUGGCAAUAUCGUGACCAAUGAAAGCCUCCUGAGGUGCGAUUAUUGCUAGUUGAAAAAGAUUGUAGCAAUAUUUCGGGUACUAGCGAUUUUUAAUUUGCCCUAACAAUGUGC
Molecule: non-coding RNA, 123 nt
Organism: Rhodnius prolixus
Lineage: Eukaryota; Metazoa; Arthropoda; Insecta; Hemiptera; Reduviidae
Source: Rfam